UAUACUUGGCACAGGACAUCGUCUCUCAC
This 29-nucleotide non-coding RNA is filed under the name Bombyx mori (domestic silkworm). The record is from RNAcentral. Lineage: Eukaryota; Metazoa; Arthropoda; Insecta; Lepidoptera; Bombycidae.